CUUAAAAGGAAGAAGUAGGAAAGAGCUUCUUCUUCUUCCGGCGUUGCAUUGUAGAGCGCAGGCGGAUCUGCGUCUCGAGGAGAGAGAGAGAGAGGGGGUUCGUGCCGCGCAAGGCUGUCAUGGCGACUAACAUCGAGCAAAUUUUUCGGUCUUUCGUCGUUACCAAGUUCCGGGAGAUCCAGGAGCAGCAAUUCGGCAGUGGAAAGCUAGGAAAUCAGCACAAUGGUGAAAUAAACACAUCUGGGCAAGUAAACUCUUCAGAUGAUACAAUUCAAUCUAUAGAAAGUCUUCAAAAUGAUCCACUAGUGCAGAAGAUAGAACAAGUAUUAUCAGAAGUGUUGGGUACUGAGCCACGGUACAAAUCAGGAGAUGGAGAUGAUAUCGAAAGGAAUAAUUCACACUCUAUUAAAAGAGGCUUAUCUGAAGACGUGCAAGAUGAAAUUCCAAGGAAAAGGUCUAAGAAGGACAAGAAACACAAAGAUAAAAAGAAAAAGAAAAAACGAAAGAAGGAGAAGAAAGAGAAGAAAUAUAAAAAACAUGCCAAAGAAACAGAUGAUCAGCAAAAAGAAUGUGAAGAUAUGCAACUUUCUCAUUCAGAUCUAGAAAAUUCAGGUUCUCUCUUAAAUGCAGAAAAUGAUAUAGAUGUACACUCUGGGUCUACCUUGAAUGAAGUUUCUCCUUUGAUUAAUGAAAAAACUGUGUAUGAAAAUCUAAACUCGACUAUGUUGAAUAAUACAUUUAGUUCAGAUACCAGCAAACUGGAUACAUCUGAAGAAGAUUCUACUCUCAUAAGUAUUCAGGAGGUCAGUGAAGUUAAACUUGCAAAUGAAAAAGAAUUGGAAGAUGACAGUUACCAUCCUAAUGUAACAGUAAAUAUAUGCCCAGAGGAUAAAUCUUUGAGUGAUGCUAUUUGCACAGUUGUAGAAAGAGUGUCAGAUAUAAAUGAAGUAGAGCAAGCUAAGUUAAUGUUGGAGACAACAGAUCAAGAAAACAUUCCUGAAAGCAGUCCAUAUUGUGUAAGAGUAGAGCCAGAACAUUUGGAAACCAGGCUGGAAUCUACUGCAAUGAAAGUAACAUGUGUGAAUUCAGUCACAGAGCCUGUGACUUCGAAAAAUGUGAAAGAAACAGUAUCCACCUCUUUUGAAUCAACUGGCUAUAAAUUAAUGACUCUCCCUUUGGAAUCAAAUGCAGAAGCUAAAGAUUCAGUAACAACUUUAGGAUUUUUAGCUAUGGUGGUAGGAAAAGAUUUUGAAGCAACUUCAGAAUUUUUAAAUACAGCAAAAGUAUUCACAGAAAGAAGUCCUAAGCAUUCCAGUAGAAAAGGUGAUUCAGUGCACGAAUUGGAGAAAACUGUCACAAUGAAAGAUUUGCACAAGCCACAACAGUUUGGAACAGAACGGAAAGAUGUGGAAACUACUGCAGAAGCUGUCCAUACAGUCCUUGAAAAAGAUCCUGAGCUAGAUGUGGUAGCUCAGCUGAAACCUCAGCAAGAAGUUUCAGAAUUUGAUGUACAAAAAUAUAAUAGAGCAAACCUUGGUACAGAGAUUCUAAAAGAUAUGAAAGAAUUAAGAGAAACUUGUACCCUCAUGAUUGGACUGAAUGAAUCAGAAAAAAAUGCAGGAUAUCUUCCAAUCCAAAAAGAUGCAACAGAUUUGCAAAGAGCACCACUGUUAGAAAAUAGGACUAGAAUAGAUUCAGAAGAACAUCUCUCCAUUGUAGGAUUGGAAAAAACAAAUGUAGAAGUUAAUUCCUACUUUACGAAAAUUGAUGCAAGAUCUGAUGGUGUAACAGAAUCAGAAAAUUGGAAACCUGCUCCAGAAUCUUCUAAAGCAAAGAAUUUGGAAUGCAUCCAGGAAUUUGAAAAGGCUGAACGGAUUAAUUAUUUGGAAACUUCAUUAGAAACUGUAAUAGAAAAUAGAGGAAACUCUAAAAUCAUUCAACAUUCUCUGGCGCUCUUCAGUGUGAAAGUUCCUGAAAAUGCUUCACAAUUAAAAGACAUGAAUGUUUCAGAAACAAUACAAACAGAGAAAAUACAAAAUCUGGAAAGUUCGAAAUAUGUAGAUCUAAGAAAUGAAAACAAGAAUGCAGAGAAGUUGAAAAAUAUUCCAGAACCUUUGAUGCUUGUAAACAAUUUAGAAAAUUCAUCAGAGUUGCAGUGCAUAGAAGAAAUUAAAAUAGUGAAGGAAACUUCACAAUCUGAUGUGGAGGCACACAAAAAAGAUUUCAAAACUGUUCUUGAACCUGAAGAGAGAGAUGUGGAUGCUGGUUCAGGAUCUCUGCAGAUGAUAUUUGCAAACUAUUCAGAACAUAAUCUAGAACUUUAUACAGAAACUGAAGGUAUGAUAGAGUUGAAAAAUUCAGAUGCAGUUUUGAAAUCAUUGCAUAAGUCAAAUGCUGACAACAUUGAACCACCAUAUGCCAAGGAAAUCAAAUAUGUUAAAAGUACAGAAUCUGAAGCAGUGACUGAAGUAAAUAAUUUACAAGAAAACUUAAAACCAUUACAAAAACAUGUAAAAAAUGUGGAACCUGCAUCAAAAUCAAUUGCAUUACCAACUGUGACAUACACAGAGACACUUGAAGGUACUUCCAAUAGAACGCAAAGUGAAACUGAAUCUCAUUUUGUGCAAGAAAUAGAACAGAAAUGUUUUGAUUCCACUGUAAAGAAGAACCAAAGUAGUGUAGAUACAACAGAUUUGGGACUUACCUCAAGACGUAAGGAAGUAAUUGAAACAAACUCCAGCAAAAUAGGAGAAAGUGAGUUGUUAGUUAAGAGUCAAGGUCCAUUAUUCAUUUCAAAAUCAUUGCAUGAAAUUGAUGUAAUAAGUUCAGAAAAAAGUAAUCCAGAAUUUACAGGAAUAGCGGUAGUACAAGACUUAAAAGAACCUGGAAAAUCUUUGACAGCUGCAAUUGAUCCUAAGGAUUUUUUAAAAUUGAAGAAUUUAGUAUUGGUUGAAUCAAAAGAUGAUUUUCCAUUUGGCGGUACUAUGAAACAAUUUGAAUCAGUUUCAGAAUCUCUUGAACAAAAUCAAGAACGAUUAGAGAACACACAGACACAAAUUAGAAAAGAAUGUUUAGAUCCUGUGCCUGAUUUAAGUGUUAAAUGUGCAAGAACAGAGAUUCCGUUUAUAGAUGAAUUUAAUAUUCAGGAGAAGAACAAGAAAUUGGAAGAAAAAGUAGAAACUACAGGAUUAAUGGAAGCACCAGAACCUCUGAAUUUGUCAGAGAGAGAUCUGAUUGUUCUUACUUCUGAUUCUGGAAUUAAAGUUUCAAGAUAUGGUCCAGAAACUGUGUACUUGACAAAAACAAAUUCAGAGGCCAUCCCGAAGUCUUAUGAAAUUCAAAUGAAAGAUUCAAAAACUUCAGAAUCUAAAACAAGAAAUGUAAAAGACGUGAACAUUGAUUCAGAAUCUUUGCUUCAAGCAGGUGUAGAAAUUAAAGAAUACAUUCCAGGAUGUAAAACAGUGGUAUCAGAUAGUGUGGAAUUUACAGCAGAAAUGCUUCCAGAAUCAAAGAGUAUAACAAAGUUGCAAAACUCAAAUGCAGUACUCAGAAGUGAAGGAUUGACAUAUGAACAUUUGAAAACACCACCAGCAUCUGUAUGUGUAAUAGAUACUGAAGAUCUAGAAAUACCUCCCAAGUCUACAGAAUUGGGCGUAACGGAAAAGCAAGGUGUUCCUACGUCUUUAUCUGCCUCAGUGGAAUCUACAGAUGUAUCAGAAGAAAGUUUUGAACAUAAUUACAGAGCAGAUAUGAAAAAGGUAGAAGCAAGUCAGAAGUCUAUUAAUGUAGAGUUCAUCGGUAAAGAAAAGAUGAACGAUCAACCUGUCCAGCCAUCUAAUGAUAAUGAUGCAAAUGUUUCAAAACUAUUUAUGUCUUCACAUUGUGGUGUAAGGGCACACAUUAUAGAAGAAAGACUGUCAGUUGCCAACGAAGAAAGUGUUUCUGGAAUAACUUCAGAAUCUGGUACAGGAUUGUUAAAAUGCUCUGAAGUGUCUGAAACUAUCACAGGUCAAGAGAGAGAGAGAUUUGAUAUAACUCUGCCUGAAUUUAUGGUAGAUGUCCAAGAUUUGAAAGAAAGCCCUAAUAUUUUAGAUGCACAAGAGAAGAAGACUUUAAAAGCUAGUCAGAGAGAAAAAUAUACUAAGUCUUCUUAUGUAUUAGAAUCCAGGGAUGCAGCUGAUGUUUCACAAUCUGGGUCUAAAGUUGAACCAAAAGGAUUAAGAGCAACAAUGAGCUAUGAAAGACUAUCAGAAAUAAAAGAUCCAGUGGCCACUGCAAUGCAGUUAAAGAAACCAGAAUUAACAUCUUCAGAAUCUGUUUCUAUAUUGGAAGUAACUGACACUUUGAAAACCCCAGAGCUCAAAACUCCUCGAACAUAUUUAGGAGUAACUGGUUUCAAAUCUUCUGACACAACUGCAGAGAGUUGUCCACUAAAAAUAAUUGACUCUGACUCACAAAUCCAACAUGAAAACAUUUUGGAAGUAAAAAAUUUGGAAUCUGCUUCAGAAAUUAAAUAUGGGCUAGGAACAUUUCCAUUCAAAAUUGCUUCAGAAUCUGAAAAAGUGACACCAGAUGAACUUUCAAAAGCUCUUUCAAAAAUAUUAUCUUCAGGCAAUUUGGAAAACCUGGAACAAAUUUUGAAAUAUAGACGUAACCAGGAAAGAAAAGAUUUAGAGUCUGCCCAGUUUGACACCCCGGUGGCCAAAGAUUUGAAAGGAAGUCUUACAGAUGAAGAAAUAAUAGGUAUUCCAGAGACUACUCAAGUUUCAAAAGCAAGAGAUACUGGAUCAAAUCUAUCAGCUACAGUUCCAGAAACAAUUGAAAAAUGUUCUGAUAUAUUUCUGGAAGGUAAAACUAUGUCAGAUGUACAGGCUACAAAUACAAAUGUAGAACUAGACAAUUUAAUUAAAAAGUCACCUGACAUUUCUACAGACAUUAAUAAAUCAAAAUCAAAUUCAGGACUUACUGAUAUAAUGGAAUUGAAAUGUAACAAUGCUUCAGAAUCUGUACAGAUGAAAGAACUGGAAGAUUUUGAAACAGUUGUUUUAAACAAGUCUGUAAUUGAAAUAAAAAACCUCCAAGCUGUACAAACAUCAGGAGAGAAAGAGCAAAUGGAUUUUCAGGAACUCUCAAAAUCAAUGUUACCUUUAAACAUUCAGAAUUUGGAAAGAAACUCAAGUUUGCCACAACAAAAGAUAUUGGAAACAUCUCUAGAACCUGUUAAAGAUUUUGUAUCAGUUUCUGAAUGUUCAAGUACAAAGGAUAUUGAACAGAAUUUAAAAAGUGGAUUUGUGGCAGAAGGGAAAGCUGAGGAAUCAACUGUAGAACAUGUACUAAUGCAAGAUAAGAGUGCAGAAAUAAUUCCACAGUUCACUUUGGAAAUGAAAGAUUCAGAAGCAACCUUAGAAUCUGUAGAUGUGGCAAACAGAAAAGAUCUAGAUGUACAGACUUUUUCAAAGGAGCAAACAACUAUUAAACCUCUCUGUAUGACAACAGAAGGCAAAGCGGAAGUAAAUCAACUGGAAACCAUUGUGCUGGGAGAUUCAGGAGAAGCUGUAAAGCCUGUGCACUUGGCAGAGAAAGAAGUCAUCCGAGUGGGAGAAUGCAUUGAGGCAAAAGAUUCAGGAAUAGCUAUUGAAUCUGAGGUUAUAAUAAAGGAUAAAGACUUGGAAGUUUCUCUUCAGGGCUCUUCAAAAUAUCAGGAUUCAGAUGUUACUCUGAAUUCUUCAGAAAUAAUGAAGGAAAGUGAAGGGAGUAAUUUAAAAGAAAAAAAAAGUGAGAAAAUAAGUAGUAAAAGUAAAGAUAAAAGUAAAAGUGGAAAAAAAACAAAAAAAAGCAGAUCAAAAUCUCCUUCCAAGUCAAAGAAACGUAAAAAGAAAUCUAGAUCACGGUCUACAUCUAGACAAGUAUCUAGAAGAGCACGUUCUAGAAGCAAACAUGAUUCCAGUUCCAAGAGAAAACACUCCACUUCACGUCGCAAAUCUAGAUCCAAAUCUGUUGAUAAAAAAGAAAAAGAAUCUUCAUUAAGGUCUAGACGAAGACGUUCACGGACCUCUGAUCGUCUUAAAUCUAGAUCUAAAUCUCCUGAUAGAAGAGACACUUCAAUAAGAUCAAGACGUAGACGAUCCAGAUCAUCUGAUCACAAGUCUAGAUCCAGAUCAGUUGAAAGAAGAGACUCAGCUAGGAGAAGACGAAGGUUAUCCAGAUCUUCUGACAAUCGCAGAUCUAGAUCACGAUCAGUUGAUAGAAGAGAGGCUUUGACAAGAUCAAGGAGGAGGCGCUCCAGAUCUUCUGACCAUCAUAAAUCUAGAUCACGAUCAAGUGACAAAAGAGAGACCUCUCUGAGAACAAGGCGAAGGCGAUCUCAGUCUUCUGAUCGUUGUAGAUCUAGAUCAAAAUCAUUUGACAGAAGAGACUCUUCAGUAAGAACACGGAGAAGACGAUCUAGAUCUUCUGAUAAUCUCAAGUCUAGGUCAAGAUCGCCCGAUGACAAGAGAGAGCUUUCAGUGAGAAGAAGGGGGAGAAGAUCAAGGACCCCUGAAACUCGCAAAUCUAGGUCUAGAUCUGUUGACAGAAGGGAGAUUUCAGGGAGAGGAAGGCGAAGGCGAUCAAGAUCCUCUGAUAAUCGUAAGUCAAGAUCCAGAUCAGUUGACAGAAGAGACAGUUCAGUGAGGAUAAGGAGAAGGCGAUCUAGGUCUUCUGAUAACCGCAGAUCAAAGUCCAAAUCUGUUGACAAAAGGGACAGUUCAGUGAGGAUGAAACGAAGGCGGUCUGUGUCCUCUGAUCGCAAAUCUAGAUCCAGAUCUGUUGAUAAAAAAGAGACUUCAGCUAGAUCAAAAAGGAGACGUUCCCAGUCUUCUGAUAAUCACAAAUCUAGAUCCAAAUCAGUUGAGAAUGUAGAAACAUCAGGAAAAUCAAAAAGGCAAUCUAAAUCUACUGAUAAGUCCAGAACAAAAUCAGUUGAAAAGAGGGAGUCAACCUUAAAUUCUAGUCAUAGACGAUCUAAGUCAUUAGAUCGCCCAAGAUCUAAAUCAAAAUCUAGAUCGAAGUCUUCUGAAAGAAAAAAAGACACCGAUUCUGUGGAUGGAUCAAGGGGGAAACACUCUAAAUACAGAUCAAAGUCUAAGUCCCUUGAGAAAACAGAUGGAACUGAGUCUUUGGAAGUAACUUUGAAUAAUCGAGAAAAAUCACCUGAGCAGCACAAAUCUAAAUCUAGGUCUAGGUCUAAAUCUGUAGAUAAAGCAGGAGAGAAAGAACGCUUGAGAAGAUCAAGAAGUAAAGGUUCCAAGUCCUCAGAAUCUAGGUCUCGUAGACGUAGAACAGUAUCAAGGUCUAGAAGAAAUCGUUCACAAUCACAGUCACGUUCUCGAACUCGUUCACAGUCACGUUCAAGACGGAGGAGGACUAGAUCAAGAUCAAUAUCAAGACAGCGAUCUUUGUCAAGGAAAAGACAUAGACGAUCUCGGAGAAAUCGAUCAAGAUCAACCGAGAGGAGGAGAAGAAGAUCUGAUUCAAGAGACAGUUUUAGAAUAUCUCUCAGGUUACGUUCCAGAAGUCGAACACCUGUCCGUCUGAGAUGUUCUAGGUCUACAGGAAGAAGAAGAAGUACUAGUAAAUCACCUGAUCAUCGACGGUCUAGAUCUUCAAGCAGAUCACCAAAACGUCUCACUGACUUGGAUAAGGCACAGUUACUUGAAAUAGCCAAGGCAAAUGCAGCAGCAAUGUGUGCUAAGGCUGGUGUUCCUCUCCCACCAAGUCUGAUGCCUGUUAUAACUCCAGAGAAGAAGGAAGAGAAAGUUACUCAAAAGUCAGCAAAAGAAACAAUAUUGGAACUGACUGAGAAAUGCAAGAAGAUUGCCCAAAGCCAGGAAGAUGAUGUCAUUGUAAAUAAGCCUCAUGUUUCUGAUGAAGAAGAGGAGGAACAUCCUUUUAUCAACCAUCCCUUUAAGCUGAAUGAGCCCAAGCCUAUUUUUUUCAAUUUAACUACUCCUACAAUAAAACCAACACCUCCAAAAAAUCAGGUAACUCUGACAAAAGAGUUUCCAGUUUCUUCAGGAUCUCAGCACAGGAAAAAAGAAGCAGACAGUGCAUAUGGGGAAUGGGUUCCAGUUGAGAAGGACAAGGAUGAGGACAAGGACGAUGUGUUUCCCAAUCCAGCCAAUUUGGAGCCUGUGGACAUCUCAUCAGCACUGAAUGAACGGACAAUAGCCCAAAAGAGACUAACGGAAAAUACAUUUGAUUUGGAGGCAAUGUGCUUGUUAAAUCGGGCACAAGAACGGAUUGAUGCCUGGGCUGAGCUGAAUACGAUACCAGGCCAUUUUACAGGCAGCACUGGAGCACAGGUCUUGACUUCUGAACAGUUAUCCAACAGCGGUCCCCAAGCAUGGGUUAAAAAGGAGGACCUAGAUUUCAUCUGGAGGGACUGACAGCGCUGAUCUUACACGAUUGCUACAAUGAACAGGAAACCCGACCAGGAGUUCCCAGGUAUUCACCCUUGCACCCAGGAUUGGGUCUUGGCGUUCCCAUUUGUGUGGGCUUUUCUUGGCAUUGAAUGAAUCUGGUAAAUUGUGAUUUCUUACCUCUUUCGUUCCUAACUAUACCUGCACCAGUCUGAAUAUCAUUUUUUUUCCAUUACAGUGGUGUUGAAUACUUCCUCUCUCAGGCAUUCUUACUGCUAGGUGCUUUUAUUAGAUUUCAUUUGCUUGUCCUGUAAACUGAUUGUAGACCUGUCAGCCUUUUUUUACAGUAGGAAGAAGAAAUGGCUUGCCCUAGCUAGUGACAAGAAAUUUACUACUUCACUUGAGUAGUCAUGGCGAAUAGGCGGCAAUACAAAUUAAUAAAUAAAUAAAUAAAAUAAAUAAAUUAAACAAAAAGUCUUGCUUAGUAUAGGGAGAUUUAAAGACAAAUUGCCAUAGAAGCAAUAUAGUCAGAGCAAAACAAAUAAUUCAGAAUUUAAAAACUUUUACACGUUUCCCACAUCAUUUGUUGACUUUAUAGUUAUUUAUUUCAAUAAUAAGCAAUCUUGACUUACUGUACCUUUGUACUGGAAAAUAUAUUAAUAGUAUUGUAGAUUUAGUUCCUCUGUACUGUGAAAUAACAUAGUCACCAUGUAAUGUUAUUUCAAGUACUUGUUCAACUUUCUGAUAGUGAUUGUUUAGCAUUGUAAAUAAAAUAGCAUAUUACAUGUAUAUACUUAACAGGCAUUUUAUUUUAGUUAGUUUUUACUAGCCAAAUGGUUUCCAGAGCAAGAUACGUGCAAGCUGGAAUAGAUAGGCCUUGUUCAAAGCAUCUGGAAGGGGGUAUGAGGCCGAAAAUAGCUCAUAUAGUUUUCUCUUGUAGAUGAAUCAGUGUAGUAUUUGACAUCAACUACUGUUAGAUGUAAUUUGCAGGAUUGUAAAGGCUUGUGGAAAUAAUCCAUAUCAUGAAUUAAAAUGCCUGGAGUGUUUGACAAGGAGUUGUAAUAUGCAGUUCAAGAACAACAGAAUAAAUAUUAAGAUUCCCCUUAGAAACCAUAAACUUCAGUACCUAAUUAAGCACAGAUUAAAAAGGAUUUGGGGAUUUUAGACAAAAACGGUUCUUUUUUCCACUGGACUUUGGCACAUAUGUUUUCCUUUGGGUUCUAUCAUUGAAUUCUACAACUGGAUAACCUGUGAACAUAGUGUUAUAAUCAGCUUGAUGCGCAAUUAGAAAACAGUGCUUCUUCAAAAAUGUUGUGCUGUACUUCAGGGUUUUUUUUUUUAAACCGUCCAGGUUAUAUUUCAUCUUCGUAGAAAAAAAAAAAAAGACUACUUAGGAUUGUGCUCACCUGCAUUUCAAACAAAAAGCCUUCUUUUUAUUUUGCCCCCAAUAAUUAGGGCAGUGUCUGAUAAAUUCUUGCAACCUCAAAGACCCUCCUGAAACAAUAGGUCCCUGGCAUUUUUGUGAACUGGAUACACAUUGGUGAUGAAACAGACAUUGUUGAUGAACAUUCUAUCAUUGCAAAGCAGGUACAAAAGAGGAGUCGGAGCCCUGGGUGACAUUGACUGGGGUUUGUAUCAUACUCUGCAUGGUUGCCCUUUUCUAAUGAGAGGUUCGUGGAAAGGAGAGGGGAGGAUGAAAAUGGAAGUAAGUAAAAGCCAUUCUAGAGGUGUAUCAACUCGAAGCAGUUGGUAACUGGCAUCAGCUAACAUGUUUCUGUGUACACAAACUGCAUGGCUUGCACCAGUCAAACUGUUUCUGUGAGAGGUAAUGUUUGCCUCAUUUAGCCUUUUCUUACAUAAGAACACUUUUUCCAAAGUAAUGUUCAUUUGCAUGGUAUACAGACAUCUGUUUAAUUGUAUUAUAUGGGCUGAUUUAAUACUUGAGGAACUCAUGUUACAUACGUUAUUGGAAUCACUACAAUUUGCUUUCUUAACAGGGAUACAGAGAUUAGUACUGCAGUGUGUGUGCGUAUGUCAUAAUUUUCUGUGCUGAAGAACAAACCUAUGUACUGUACACUCAAUUCGCUUUCAGUGCCUAUUUUCAGUCAUUGAAAUGUAGACUGAAAGCAGAGGGGUUUCUAUGUAUAGUUGGUAUGUUAAAUUUUAAAAAUGAUGUGCUAAUACUACACACACAGACACAUAAAUAUAUGUAUGUACUUAUGUGUUUGUGUGUGUGUAUAUAUACAUACAUCUACGCAAGCAGUUUGUUGUGUUGGGUCCUUUGGGUGGGGCAAAAAGAGAGAUGAUAGUUCACAGAAUAGCCUGUGAACUUUCACCCCUCUAUAUGGAAACUUGUUUCAGGGCCAAAUCUGCCUUGUAGCUGCCUUCUUGCCACGGUCAAUGCCAGCCCUACUAUUCACAACACUGCAGCAUCGAGGCCUA
This is an RNA transcript of Notechis scutatus (mainland tiger snake), 10841 nucleotides long. It is a transcript of the gene named SON DNA and RNA binding protein, with no coding region annotated. Lineage: Eukaryota; Metazoa; Chordata; Lepidosauria; Squamata; Elapidae. The record is from RefSeq and is a predicted model, not a curated record.